GCCGGGGUGACGGAAUGGUAGACGUAGGGGGCUUAAAACCCCCGGAGGAAAUAAAAACCUCGUGAGAGUUCGAGUCUCUCCCCCGGUA
This 88-nucleotide transfer RNA is filed under the name Candidatus Adlerbacteria bacterium RIFCSPHIGHO2_01_FULL_54_23. RNAcentral describes it as "tRNA-Leu". It matches the Rfam family "tRNA". Rfam says of the family: Transfer RNA (tRNA) molecules are approximately 80 nucleotides in length. Their secondary structure includes four short double-helical elements and three loops (D, anti-codon, and T loops). Lineage: Bacteria; Candidatus Adleribacteriota. RNAcentral also lists the same sequence under 1 other name. The record is from RNAcentral.